GUGUCACGUCAGCAGCACAUAUGCUAAAAUUGGAAUGAUAAAGAGACAGCACAGCCCCUGUGCAAGGAUGACAGUAAAUUUGUAAAGCGUUGCAUACUAUU
RNAcentral lists this small nuclear RNA (101 nucleotides) under Catagonus wagneri (Chacoan peccary). The record is from RNAcentral. Lineage: Eukaryota; Metazoa; Chordata; Mammalia; Artiodactyla; Tayassuidae.